This 74-nucleotide transfer RNA is filed under the name Nippostrongylus brasiliensis. It matches the Rfam family "tRNA". Rfam says of the family: Transfer RNA (tRNA) molecules are approximately 80 nucleotides in length. Their secondary structure includes four short double-helical elements and three loops (D, anti-codon, and T loops). Further hydrogen bonds mediate the characteristic L-shaped molecular structure. tRNAs have two regions of fundamental functional importance: the anti-codon, which is responsible for specific mRNA codon recognition, and the 3' end, to which the tRNAs corresponding amino acid is attached (by aminoacyl-tRNA synthetases). tRNAs cope with the degeneracy of the genetic code in two manners: having more than one tRNA (with a specific anti-codon) for a particular amino acid; and 'wobble' base-pairing, i.e. permitting non-standard base-pairing at the 3rd anti-codon position. The record is from Rfam by way of RNAcentral. Lineage: Eukaryota; Metazoa; Nematoda; Chromadorea; Rhabditida; Heligmosomidae.
AUCUCAGUGGCGUAGUGGUUAGUGCACGAGCCGCGGUUGGGCGCGAGACGCGGGUUCGAAUCCCGCCUGAGAUG